Long non-coding RNA from Lagopus leucura (white-tailed ptarmigan), 1721 nucleotides. RefSeq lists it as uncharacterized. The record is from RefSeq and is a predicted model, not a curated record. Lineage: Eukaryota; Metazoa; Chordata; Aves; Galliformes; Phasianidae. The transcript has 3 exons.
GCGGCUGCCGGCUGCCAGCGAAGGGUUGGCGGGGUAAUCUCGUAGGGGAGCGCGAAGGAGCUUUACGGAGCGUCUGGUCUAACAAAGGGAUGAUUAACAAAGAUGGACAGCAUUAGAGUCACUGUGGGCUGCUGAAGUUGACCAGGUUUCACCACUGCCACAGAAAGGAGAACUAGAGCUCCCAGAGUACUCCAAUGCUAUUCUGCAUGGGAUUUCAGCUCAUCACAACACAGAAGAAACACUAGAAGCCCAAUGCUCUUCACUCAGUGUUGUCAAGCACGUGUCAGUGGGCUGGUAGAUUGAACUUUGUGUCCAUAAUGAAGAGGAGGAGCCAUGUGGUCUACCAGUAAAGACCCCAGACUGCUUCAAAUGCUGUCAGUUCCUUUCCUGAUGAAUGCCACAAAUAUCCUGCACAGAACACAGCACUGACCUGGUUAAUGCAGCACACUGGACUGGUAGUGGCACUCUUCUAAGGCUGUUCCUCCAGGAAGCUCACCAACAUCCUUGCAGGAUCAGUCUAAAGCUAUGCUUUGACACUGUGCCUUUUGCACAGAGAGGCAACCCUAAGGUUUUUGCAUACAUUGAUACACACAUGAGAAAGCAGAUACUUUCUCUAGUCCCAGGCAGUUGCAGUAAAGAUCCAUAGAGAACCUGAAUAGUCAUAAUUUCUUAGUGUGUUAAGCAGUUCAGACUAUGGAAAGAAGACAUUUCUGAGAAACAGAUUUUAUAGACUUGAGCUGAACAGAUUUUUGGCAUUAUUUGUAAGCUAGUCAUUGUUAAGCCUUUGUACUUAGAAGAGCAAUUAUGUCUCCUUUGGAAACAUCCUUAGUUGAACUCUUAAAAUAAUAAAAACACUCCUCCGUAAGACCACAUUAACAUAUGGUUUUCGUAAUGACAGCACAAACAAAUCACCCACUCAUCACACACAUUUAGGAAGAAGACAGGAACAAACAGAACAAAAAAUUUCUACAGAUUACUUAGAGGUCCUGAUCAAUCAAGGGAAAAAAAAAAAAAAAAAAAGUGAACUAAACUGAAUUCAGAAUUUGUCUAUGGGAUAUUGAAUACAGAUAAAAUAUGCAUCAUACAAAUAACCAAAACCAAAAAUACCACUGAACUUUGUAAGGCAAAGUUUAUAGAUAUCAAGCUGCAAAACUGUUUUGCAGAAAUGUCAAGCUGAGGAUGCCUAGCUUUCUAGUUUGCUUUUUAACUUUGGUGAUGCAUCAUCAGUAAGCAAGAAAGAGAAAAGGUGUGUUUGCACCAGUGACCAGCUGGAGUACCUGUGCUCCAAGGGGACUUAGCACCCCCCAGAAACUUGUGGGCAAGUCCCAGCCAAACCAGAGCCUUCACUACAUGCACUGCUUCACCUCCAAGAGUAGCAGCAGGAAUCUGCAUUCUUGAAGCUCAUGUGCAUCUUCUUGGGACUGAGCACAGGGAACAAACUGGACUACCAGCAGUGGCCAGCACAGCUCCCAUGCAGCUCCCUGUGACGGCAUCAGCAUGAUGUCAGAGCAGAGGAAAAAGAGCAAAUAAGAUCCACGUUCAAAAUGGAGUUUGUAGUCUGACAGAGACCCAGAGGGAGCCUUUACUGGGAAACAAUUAAAAAAAAUGAGCGAGAGCAAAUUCCUCUAAGGAGUGUUUUUGCCUACAUGUAGUUCUGUUGUUUUUGCUUGCUCUCUUCCAAGUGAAUCUAUGUCUUGUGAAUAAAAGAAUGGAUGAGAAAA